CAAAAUGCAAGUUGGAGAGAAGCCUUCUAAUCACUCAGGUCUGAGUCCUUUUUUUGUUGGUGAAAAACAUUUACAUUCCAUAGCAGUUAAUAGCCCGGUUAGAUCUUACACACAAACAAAAAGUACUUCUCAAAAACACUACGAAUUCUCAGAAGUGGGAAAACAUAGAAGAGGAUGAAACUGUGAGGAUACUGAAAAACCCUGCUUGUUGUACAUUGUCAUUCAUCAUCCAGCCCCAGCAGUGUGCUCUUGCAGCACAGAAGGCCAACAGUAUCCUGGGCUGCAUCAAAAGAGGCAUGGCCUGCAGGGAGAGGGAGUUGAUGGUCCCCCUCUGCUUUGCUCUUCUGAGCCCAAUCUGGACUACUGCAUUCAGGCCUGGAGUCUCAUGCUCUAGAAGGAUGAGUUGCUGUUAGAGCAGGUCCAGAGGAGAGACACGAGGAUGAUUUGUGGGCUGGAGCACCUUUCCUAUGAAGAA
This 475-nucleotide long non-coding RNA is filed under the name Phasianus colchicus (ring-necked pheasant). RNAcentral describes it as "lncRNA (ENSPCLG00000019596.1)". Lineage: Eukaryota; Metazoa; Chordata; Aves; Galliformes; Phasianidae. The record is from RNAcentral.